This 484-nucleotide ribosomal RNA is filed under the name uncultured bacterium. RNAcentral describes it as "partial 16S ribosomal RNA". It matches the Rfam family "Bacterial small subunit ribosomal RNA", at positions 30 to 507 of the family's 1533-position model. The record is from RNAcentral.
AUUGAACGCUGGCGGCAGGCCUAACACAUGCAAGUCGAGCGGAUGAAGGGAGCUUGCUCCUGGCUUCAGCGGCGGACGGGUGAGUAAUGCCUAGGAAUCUGCCUGGUAGUGGGGGAUAACGUCCGGCAACGGGCGCUAAUACCGCAUACGUCCUGAGGGAGAAAGUGGGGGAUCUUCGGACCUCACGCUAUCAGAUGAGCCUAGGUCGGAUUAGCUAGUUGGUGGGGUAAAGGCCUACCAAGGCGACGAUCCGUAACUGGUCUGAGAGGAUGAUCAGUCACACUGGAACUGAGACACGGUCCAGACUCCUACGGGAGGCAGCAGUGGGGAAUAUUGGACAAUGGGCGAAAGCCUGAUCCAGCCAUGCCGCGUGUGUGAAGAAGGUCUUCGGAUUGUAAAGCACUUUAAGUUGGGAGGAAGGGCAGUAAGUGAAUACCUUGCUGUUUUGACGUUACCAACAGAAUAAGCACCGGCUAACUUCGUG